Molecule: small nucleolar RNA, 154 nt
Organism: Polyodon spathula (Mississippi paddlefish)
Lineage: Eukaryota; Metazoa; Chordata; Actinopteri; Acipenseriformes; Polyodontidae
Product: small nucleolar RNA SNORA23
Exons: 1
Source: RefSeq, a predicted model, not a curated record
GGCAGCCUGUGUGCUUGGUGAUGGUCCGUGUUUAGUGUUUCUGUUUGUCUGCGUCUUGCAGUCUGACAGCAGCGCUCACACAAUGCCAGCAGCCAAAGAAAAACCUGAGAUCUUAGUACUGGUCUAGUGAAGUCUGACAAAUUCUCAGACAUAA